This 1131-nucleotide ribosomal RNA is filed under the name human gut metagenome. RNAcentral's name for it is "bacterial LSU rRNA". It matches the Rfam family "Bacterial large subunit ribosomal RNA", at positions 829 to 1980 of the family's 2925-position model. The record is from RNAcentral.
CCAAUCGAACUCGGAGAUAGCUGGUUCUCCCCGAAAUAGCUUUAGGGCUAGCCUCGUUUUAAAUUACCGGGGGUAGAGCACUGAAUGGGCUAGGGGGCCACAAAGCUUACCGAACCCUAUCAAACUUCGAAUACCGGAUAAUUGAUGAACGGGAGUCAGACGGCGGGAGAUAAGUUUCGUCGUCAAAAGGGAAACAGCCCAGAUCUACGACUAAGGUCCCGAAAUCACAGUUAAGUGGAAAAGGAUGUGCAGUUGCACAGACAACCAGGAUGUUGGCUUAGAAGCAGCCACUCAUUUAAAGAGUGCGUAAUAGCUCACUGGUCGAGUGAUUGUGCGCCGAAAAUGUACCGGGGCUAAACUGUGUACCGAAGUCUAGGGAUGUGGCAACACAUCGGUAGGGGAGCAACGUAUACGGGCAGAAGCCGAAGCGGAAGCGACGGUGGACUGUAUGGGAGAGAGAAUGCCGGCAUGAGUAGCGAGAGCAAAGUGAGAAUCUUUGCCGUCGAAAGCCUAAGGUUUCCUGAGGAAGGCUCGUCCACUCAGGGUAAGUCAGGACCUAAGCCGAGGACAGAAGUCGUAGGCGAUGGACAACUGGUUGAUAUUCCAGUACCACCUCAAGCGAUUGACAGAAGCAGUGACACAGAAGGAUAGACAGAGCGCGUGACUGGUAGAGCGCGUCCAAGCGAUGAGGGAGUUAAGUAGUGAAGAACGCUUAACAAUCCUGGGUCGUGAUGGGGACUGAAAAUAAGUAGGGAAGCUGUUGAAUUCACGCUGGCGAGAAAAGCUGCUAAGGAGCGAAAGGGUGCCUGUACCGCAAACCGACACAGGUAGGCGAGGAGAGAAUCCUAAGACGAGCGGGAGAACCCUUGUUAAGGAACUCGGCAAAAUGACCCUGUAACUUCGGGAUAAAGGGAGCCUCGAGAGAGGCCGCAGAGAAUAGGCCCAAGCGACUGUUUACCAAAAACACAGGUCUGUGCGAAGUAGAGAUACGACGUAUACGGGCUGACGCCUGCCCAGUGCCGGAAGGUUAAGGGGAAGUGUUAGGGCAACCGAAGCACGGAACUUAAGCCCCGGUGAACGGCGGCCGUAACUAUAACGGUCCUAAGGUAGCGAAAUUCCUUGUCGGGUAAG